Molecule: long non-coding RNA, 729 nt
Organism: Fundulus heteroclitus (mummichog)
Lineage: Eukaryota; Metazoa; Chordata; Actinopteri; Cyprinodontiformes; Fundulidae
Exons: 3
Source: RefSeq, a predicted model, not a curated record
CAUGGAUGGAGGAUCUCCUCAACUAUGGUGUUGUCAAGUGAACUGGGUGCUGGAGGGAUGAAAAACCGGCAUCAAUUCAUGACAACAUAGUAACAGCAAAGUCUCUGAUGGUGGUAGAGAGGCCAUGACAUUCAGCUCUAAAUAAGAAGUCUGCGCAAAGUUGGAAAAAUAAAGAAGAGGUGUGCAUGGCAUCACCCAAAAAACAGCGGACUCCAGACAGAGCCGGUUCCAAGCAACGCAAACAAACGCAAGCAAAAAGACCCACUCUCCCAUACUGAGGAAAACCUGCUCUAAUCGUGACUGCAACCAGGUCAGAGGCUGUCUGGAGGAACUAUGAGCCUCCGAUCCUGACCCCGCUUCUCCAAGCUGCCCAACCACUGUUAGAAAAAUGUAAAUGUAAUCAUUUUAUUUUUAUCAAGCUACAGGCAUUUGGUUUGUUUUAAGAGUUUGCUUUCAGGAAGGUUCUGUUGUUUUUAACCUUAGAUAAGGGAGAGCAAAUGGUUUUCCCAGAUAAGGAAUGUCUCCAUUAUCCAACUUUGCAUGUAGCUGGUGAUUUGAUUAUCACCCACAAUGAAACUUGCUCCCUUCUUUGUUUUCCAACCCCCAUGUUGUAAACUCAAGACUGUGAUUAAAUCCUCCUGACCCCAUGUGAUGUGUGACAAUAAAGACAAGGGGGCAGAGGCAGUCCGGGGCAGUCGAACUCAAGCUUGUGAAAGAACAGGUCUCAUG